GGUGGGUAGUUUGACUGGGGCGGUCUCCUCCUAAAGAGUAACGGAGGAGCACGAAGGUUGGCUAAUCCUGGUCGGACAUCAGGAGGUUAGUGCAAUGGCAUAAGCCAGCUUGACUGCGAGCGUGACGGCGCGAGCAGGUGCGAAAGCAGGUCAUAGUGAUCCGGUGGUUCUGAAUGGAAGGGCCAUCGCUCAACGGAUAAAAGGUACUCCGGGGAUAACAGGCUGAUACCGCCCAAGAGUUCAUAUCGACGGCGGUGUUUGGCACCUCGAUGUCGGCUCAUCACAUCCUGGGGCUGAAGUAGGUCCCAAGGGUAUGGCUGUUCGCCAUUUAAAGUGGUACGCGAGCUGGGUUUAGAACGUCGUGAGACAGUUCGGUCCCUAUCUGCCGUGGGCGCUGGAGAACUGAGGGGGGCUGCUCCUAGUACGAGAGGACCGGAGUGGACGCAUCACUGGUGUUCGGGUUGUCAUGCCAAUGGCACUGCCCGGUAGCUAAAUGCGGAAGAGAUAAGUGCUGAAAGCAUCUAAGCACGAAACUUGCCCCGAGAUGAGUUCUCCCUGACCCUUUAAGGGUCCUGAAGGAACGUUGAAGACGACGACGUUGAUAGGCCGGGUGUGUAAGCGCAGCGAUGCGUUGAGCUAACCGGUACUAAUGAACCGUGAGG
RNAcentral lists this ribosomal RNA (662 nucleotides) under Escherichia coli. RNAcentral describes it as "partial 23S ribosomal RNA". It matches the Rfam family "Bacterial large subunit ribosomal RNA", at positions 2260 to 2916 of the family's 2925-position model. The record is from RNAcentral. RNAcentral also lists the same sequence under 1 other name. Lineage: Bacteria; Pseudomonadati; Pseudomonadota; Gammaproteobacteria; Enterobacterales; Enterobacteriaceae.